GGGCCCGCACAAGCGGUGGAGCAUGUGGUUUAAUUCGACGCAACGCGAAGAACCUUACCCAGACUUGACAUGCAUUAGACGGGUGUGGAAACACACCUUCCCUUCGGGGCUGGUGCACAGGUGCUGCAUGGCUGUCGUCAGCUCGUGUCGUGAGAUGUUGGGUUAAGUCCCGCAACGAGCGCAACCCUUGUCCUUAGUUGCUAACGGGUGAUGCUGAGCACUCUAAGGAGACUGCCGGUGAUAAACCGGAGGAAGGUGGGGAUGACGUCAAGUCCUCAUGGCCCUUACGUCUGGGGCUACACACGUGCUACAAUGGCCGGCACAAAGGGUUCCGAUACCGCGAGGUGGAGGCAAUCCCAAAAAACCGGUCUCAGUUCGGAUUGCAGUCUGCAACUCGACUGCAUGAAGUCGGAAUCGCUAGUAAUCGCUGAUCAGCAGGCAGCGGUGAAUACGUUCCCGGGCCUU
This 465-nucleotide ribosomal RNA is filed under the name uncultured bacterium. Its description in RNAcentral is "bacterial SSU rRNA". It matches the Rfam family "Bacterial small subunit ribosomal RNA", at positions 917 to 1382 of the family's 1533-position model. The record is from RNAcentral.